Ornithodoros turicata is the source of this 511-nucleotide long non-coding RNA. RefSeq lists it as uncharacterized. NCBI's taxonomy places the organism in Eukaryota, Metazoa, Arthropoda, Arachnida, Ixodida, Argasidae. The record is from RefSeq and is a predicted model, not a curated record. The transcript has 4 exons.
CAGCCGCUAGGUGCACAUAAGACCAGGACUUUUACUUGUCUGCAGUCAACCAAAUAGAUGUGUUGCAGAUUCAACGCCUCGUGAUACUGCCCUGCGAAGUUGGCGCUGGACCUGCCCAAUGGAGGAUAUGUUUACGCGGCUCGUCGGGAUUUUUUCGCUUCGCCGCAGCACGGGACUACUGCACAGCACAGCAAGCGGAGGCAGCGGCCGUUGAAACGUCCGGGCCGCCGAUUGUCUAGGGGUCAUUCCAUGGUCCUGAGGAGCAGCGCCGUCAGCUUGAACAAGUACUGCAGAAGUUUGACAAAAUCUUACGGAAAAACCGGGAACACUUGGAACACGUGUCAAUCGUCCUUGCAAGGAUAAAAGAAGCGGAAAUAACGAUCAACCACCGCAAGUUGCAGCAGGCAUCGUCCAGGAUCGGCCUUCUCGGCUUUGUGGUGGACGGAGUUGCUUUUGCAGGUCCCACGCUGCAUCCGACAGAGCGGGACCACUCCGUCGCCGAAAAGGAGUG